This is a long non-coding RNA of Raphanus sativus (radish), 937 nucleotides long. RefSeq lists it as uncharacterized. The transcript has 3 exons. The record is from RefSeq and is a predicted model, not a curated record. Lineage: Eukaryota; Viridiplantae; Streptophyta; Magnoliopsida; Brassicales; Brassicaceae.
CUAGGUUUUUUUUUCUCAUCGAGAAUGUUCUUUCACAGAGAGGCGCUUCCUUUCCCGAUGAAUUUAAUUUAGUAACUCGAUCUCUUGGCCUCCUCCGUGCACGUUGUUUGUCAUCGAAGCGAUUCUGUUUCCCAUAAGGCCUUCUCCCCUCCUUUAUAUAGAUGUUGUGGGUGAAAUAAACUUUGUGCAGGGGUCCGAUCUUAGGAACGAUGCAGCCACCACCAGGUUUGUGGCCCGGCUCUUAAUCAAACCGGAACCAUUUUAAUGCUGAUUGACCAUCACUGAAGCUCUCCUCCUUGGUUAAAAACCCUUCCAAAGCUAAGCCAGCUCUCUGAUUAACUCUUGCUUGAAGGUGGCCAACCUAGAUACUCACUACAUCAAAAGGCGUCCUUGAAUUCUUUGACAGAGGGAACAAAUACCUAGGUCUCCACCAACCUUGAGAUCGCUACUAGGAGAGGUCAUCCAGGAAGAACCUAUCUUUUUGGGGUGAUGCUCAUGUGUUUUGGGAGGUUUAAAAAAGGUAAAAAAAGUCCUCAACAAUUUAACCAACACUGCAGGCAUCACUGUCGUUGAGCAAAGCUGGGAAAGUAUCCAGAUCGCAUUGAGCGGGUUUGACAUCUCUAUGAAGAAAGUUUACUUGGAAUCAUAUGAAAACAUGCAGUCUGCACUUCAUUGCCACCUCGAUGAGCUCAACACUGUAUGUAGCGAGUGUUUUCACUUCUUGGUGUCUGAGUUCAUUGAGAUGAUCAUGGGUCUCAAUGAACUCAGACACUCAUUUCCCGUUUCCUGUUUCACUCAUUUCCCGUUUCCUGUUGUUACUGAGCGUAGACUCAGAUCCUUUGUUUCAUGUUUGCACAAAAAAAACAAAACAGAUGCCUCUGUUUUUAAAACCUCUGCUUCGCUUUCUGUAUUUAACAGGAAAAACCGUUCCAAGCCU